GAUGAACGCUGGCGGCGUGCCUAAUACAUGCAAGUCGAGCGAACGGACGAGAAGCUUGCUUCUCUGAUGUUAGCGGCGGACGGGUGAGUAACACGUGGAUAACCUACCUAUAAGACUGGGAUAACUUCGGGAAACCGGAGCUAAUACCGGAUAAUAUUUUGAACCGCAUGGUUCAAAAGUGAAAGACGGUCUUGCUGUCACUUAUAGAUGGAUCCGCGCUGCAUUAGCUAGUUGGUAAGGUAACGGCUUACCAAGGCAACGAUGCAUAGCCGACCUGAGAGGGUGAUCGGCCACCCUGGAACUGAGACACGGUCCAGACUCCUACGGGAGGCAGCAGUAGGGAAUCUUCCGCAAUGGGCGAAAGCCUGACGGAGCACCGCCGCGUGAGUGAUGAAGGUCUUCGGAUCGUAAAACUCUGUUAUUAGGGAAGAACAUAUGUGUAAGUAACUGUGCACAUCUUGACGGUACCUAAUCAGAAAGCCACGGCUAACUACGUG
This 497-nucleotide ribosomal RNA is filed under the name uncultured bacterium. RNAcentral describes it as "partial 16S ribosomal RNA". It matches the Rfam family "Bacterial small subunit ribosomal RNA", at positions 28 to 507 of the family's 1533-position model. The record is from RNAcentral.